RNAcentral lists this ribosomal RNA (468 nucleotides) under uncultured bacterium. RNAcentral describes it as "partial 16S ribosomal RNA". It matches the Rfam family "Bacterial small subunit ribosomal RNA", at positions 28 to 507 of the family's 1533-position model. The record is from RNAcentral.
GACGAACGCUGGCGGCGUGCUUAACACAUGCAAGUCGAACGGAAAGGCCCUGCUUUUGUGGGGUGCUCGAGUGGCGAACGGGUGAGUAACACGUGAGUAACCUGCCCUUGACUUUGGGAUAACUUCAGGAAACUGGGGCUAAUACCGGAUAGGAGCUCCUGCUGCAUGGUGGGGGUUGGAAAGUUUCGGCGGUUGGGGAUGGACUCGCGGCUUAUCAGCUUGUUGGUGGGGUAGUGGCUUACCAAGGCUUUGACGGGUAGCCGGCCUGAGAGGGUGACCGGGCACAUUGGGACUGAGAGACGGCCCAGACGCCUACGGGAGGCAGCAGGGGGGAAUAUUGCACAAUGGGCGGAAGCCGGAUGCAGCAACGCCGCGUGCGGGAUGACGGGCUUCGGGUGAUAAACCGCUUUCGCCUGUGACGAAGCGUGAGUGACGGUAAUGGGUAAAGAAGCACCGGCUAACUACGUG